ACCCUGUAGAAUCGAAUUUGUGUGAGAAUGUGAGGGUCACAAAUUCGUCUCUAGGGGGGU
This 60-nucleotide microRNA precursor is filed under the name Microcaecilia unicolor. RNAcentral's name for it is "Mun-Mir-10-P1d-v2_pre stem-loop". The record is from RNAcentral. Lineage: Eukaryota; Metazoa; Chordata; Amphibia; Gymnophiona; Siphonopidae.